Molecule: ribosomal RNA, 468 nt
Filed under: uncultured bacterium
Lineage: Bacteria
Description: partial 16S ribosomal RNA
Rfam family: Bacterial small subunit ribosomal RNA
Source: RNAcentral
GACGAACGCUGGCGGUGUGCUUAACACAUGCAAGUCGAACGGAAAGGCCCUGCUUUUGUGGGGUGCUCGAGUGGCGAACGGGUGAGUAACACGUGAGUAACCUGCCCUUGACUUUGGGAUAACUUCAGGAAACUGGGGCUAAUACCGGAUAGGAGCUCCUGCUGCAUGGUGGGGGUUGGAAAGUUUCGGCGGUUGGGGAUGGACUCGCGGCUUAUCAGCUUGUUUGUGGGGUAGUGGCUUACCAAGGCUUUGACGGGUAGCCGGCCUGAGAGGGUGACCGGCCACAUUGGGACUGAGAUACGGCCCAGACUCCUACGGGAGGCAGCAGUGGGGAAUAUUGCACAAUGGGCGGAAGCCUGAUGCAGCAACGCCGCGUGCGGGAUGACGGCCUUCGGGUUGUAAACCGCUUUCGACUGUGACGAAGCGUGAGUGACGGUAAUGGGUAAAGAAGCACCGGCUAACUACGUG